Molecule: ribosomal RNA, 749 nt
Filed under: bacterium enrichment culture clone PF-1_13
Lineage: Bacteria
Description: bacterial SSU rRNA
Rfam family: Bacterial small subunit ribosomal RNA
Source: RNAcentral
UAGAGUUUGAUCCUGGCUCACCUUGAACGCUGGCGGCAUGCCUUACACAUGCAAGUCGGACGGCAGCGCGGGCUUCGGCCUGGCGGCGAGUGGCGAACGGGUGAGUAAUACAUCGGAACGUGUCCUGUAGUGGGGGAUNNNNNNGCGAAAGCCGGAUUAAUACCGCAUACGAUCUAUGGAUGAAAGCGGGGGAUCUUCGGACCUCGUGCUAUAGGGGCGGCCGAUGGCGGAUUAGCUAGUUGGUGGGGUAAAGGCUCACCAAGGCGACGAUCCGUAGCUGGUCUGAGAGGACGACCAGCCACACUGGGACUGAGACACGGCCCAGACUCCUACGGGAGGCAGCAGUGGGGAAUUUUGGACAAUGGGGGCAACCCUGAUCCAGCAAUGCCGCGUGUGUGAAGAAGGCCUUCGGGUUGUAAAGCACUUUUGUCCGGAAAGAAAUCCUAAUGGCUAAUAUCCGUUGGGGAUGACGGUACCGGAAGAAUAAGCACCGGCUAACUACGUGCCAGCAGCCGCGGUAAUACGUAGGGUGCGAGCGUUAAUCGGAAUUACUGGGCGUAAAGCGUGCGCAGGCGGUUCGCUAAGACCGAUGUGAAAUCCCCGGGCUUAACCUGGGAACUGCAUUGGUGACUGGCGGGCUAGAGUAUGGCAGAGGGGGGUAGAAUUCCACGUGUAGCAGUGAAAUGCGUAGAGAUGUGGAGGAAUACCGAUGGCGAAGGCAGCCCCCUGGGCCAAUACUGACGCUCAUG